CGGCCGUUAGCUCAUCUGGAUAGAGCACAUUCCUUCUAAGAAUGGGGUAGGGGGUUCGAGUCCCUCACGGCUGACCA
Molecule: transfer RNA, 77 nt
Filed under: Aquabacterium sp.
Lineage: Bacteria; Pseudomonadati; Pseudomonadota; Betaproteobacteria; Burkholderiales; Sphaerotilaceae
Description: tRNA-Arg
Rfam family: tRNA
About the family: Transfer RNA (tRNA) molecules are approximately 80 nucleotides in length. Their secondary structure includes four short double-helical elements and three loops (D, anti-codon, and T loops). Further hydrogen bonds mediate the characteristic L-shaped molecular structure. tRNAs have two regions of fundamental functional importance: the anti-codon, which is responsible for specific mRNA codon recognition, and the 3' end, to which the tRNAs corresponding amino acid is attached (by aminoacyl-tRNA synthetases). tRNAs cope with the degeneracy of the genetic code in two manners: having more than one tRNA (with a specific anti-codon) for a particular amino acid; and 'wobble' base-pairing, i.e. permitting non-standard base-pairing at the 3rd anti-codon position.
Source: RNAcentral